This is a non-coding RNA of Podarcis lilfordi (Lilford's wall lizard), 72 nucleotides long. NCBI's taxonomy places the organism in Eukaryota, Metazoa, Chordata, Lepidosauria, Squamata, Lacertidae. The record is from the annotation of a GenBank genome assembly.
UGGAUAGCUCAGUUGCAAGAGCAGGAGACUCUUAAUUUAGGGUCGUGAGUUCGAGCCCCACAUUGGGCAAAA